This is a long non-coding RNA of Melanotaenia boesemani (Boeseman's rainbowfish), 271 nucleotides long. RefSeq lists it as uncharacterized. The record is from RefSeq and is a predicted model, not a curated record. The transcript has 4 exons. Lineage: Eukaryota; Metazoa; Chordata; Actinopteri; Atheriniformes; Melanotaeniidae.
AAAGUAUAUAAGGUUUAUUACAGGAGAAGUAUAAAAUACAGGCAAUACUUGCAAGUUCGAGAGCUGUCUUGUUGACUCCGGAAGCCGACAAGAGGACUCUGCCUUGCUGCAUUUUAGGAAUCAGUUUUAUUCAACCUGAUCCAAGCUGAAGGCCAGUCUCUGAACUGAUAAAAAGGAGAAGGGAGACCAGAAGGCGCUGCUCUCUUACUGUCUCGCCCAAACAGGCUGAUAUUUUCUAAACAACUGUUUUUAUUUAACAGCUGCAACAUCA